CGACAGCGAUCAAGUGUCAUUUAAAUUCUGAAGAUGUAGCCCGUGAUUAGUUGUACGACGACGAUAGUUAGUUUACUUGAUCUCCUAUUGAGAUAUCUCUACCAACAUCGGAACACAUGUUUGAUAUGUAUGUGUCGUUACUGUGUGAUCGUGGGCAAUUGUCGUGUCAAAAGAUGUACCAUGCUUUUGCACUUAUGUACGUUGUAAGCUAUUCAUUGCAAAUUUAAGAGUUCGAAUACGCCACACCUCAUACCAGACGACAAUGCAGCACGUGAAUACAUCACCAAUCUACAGUAGCGGCUUGCAGCACCUGGAGCACCAGGAUUCUUACAGUUUCGAACAAAACAAUUUCAUUGGUUCAUCGAAUAACAUGAAAAAGGUUACAAAUCACCAGGAUGAACCACAGCUCCCAUCGUUAUCGACAGUUGAGCCAUGUAACAUGUUUUUCACGGGUUAUUUAGACUGUGCACAUGAGGCUUUACGAUACCUUAUCGAGAUAGAAAAGUUGCCGACUAGUCAUCCAUUAGUACUGGGAAUCCAGUGCCAACUUUACGAGCACUAUAGAUUGCUACAGUUGCAAUACAUGUUUGAGAAUUUGUAUCCAGCUGGGCAAAUGGUACACAUCCCAAACGCGUUUCCAAACGAUGUUGCUAGUGGUAGUUUGUGCGAACAAUGCGACACAAUCGCUGAAGACGAAACUAUAGGUCUUUCAACUAUUGGUACACACAGUAUAAACAAUGGUUGUUUAAAUUCGGUUGAUUGCGCUUUGGCCCCGGAGCAUAGUUUUACCCAGAACUCGACAGGCGAUAUUUUGAAAAAUUCGGGAUUGCCGAUUGAAUCGCAAAAAUUGGCGGAAUCGCUCGCAGACGAAAUUUACUCGCUUCUUCAUUCAACAGACGACAGUGAUGACGACGAAUUCACAGACGAAGAGAGUAUAGAUGAAGGCUUUGAAGAAAUGACAGAAUUGACGAGCAACUGAAGAAACCUUUAUUAAUCGAUCUCAAAAUUUGUGAAAAAUAAAAUUGCAUAUUACUUAUGUUCAAACCACUUUGAAUUUGUAAUGGCAUUAUUAAGUAUAGACGUCGUAAGUAUUAUUCCAUUAUUGUUAAACGAUGCAAUAACAUCUAGAAAUAUGUAUUAGCAAAUCCGCAACGUUACGUGCUCGCCUAUUGUUGUCACGGAAAUGCACUCGUCUAUGUAAUAUUGAGUUCAGAAAUAAUAUAUUAUCAUAUAAAUCGGAAAUAUUAUAAUAUUAUGUCGGUCAAACAUACCGAUUGCAUCGUAGAGUGGUUCAGAUAGAUUUUUUAUAAACACGUAAUAAAUACGUGUACAUCAAAUGAAAACCAACUCAUCACACUGUAAACAUUUAAGUCGUUUAACACAAAUUUAUGUCGACAUGGUUGUAUUCAUAUUUGUUGUUUACUGUGUUCGUUUGUUUGUCUUUAUUUAUUUAUUUCGUAUUUAUACCUUUUAAUCGCUUGGAUCUCAUACCUUCUGUCUUCUGUCGUCUGCCUAAGGCGCAUUUCUUACAAUUGCGUGCUUAGUUGGUGUCGAAGAAACCGAGUUGCGUAUAAUACUAAUGGGCAAUGACUAUUUAUUGAUUUGGUUGUAUAUUUAUAUGAAAAAAAUGGAUAUAAACUGUC
This is an RNA transcript of Dreissena polymorpha, 1643 nucleotides long. RefSeq lists it as uncharacterized. Lineage: Eukaryota; Metazoa; Mollusca; Bivalvia; Myida; Dreissenidae. The record is from RefSeq and is a predicted model, not a curated record. The transcript has 2 exons.